This 465-nucleotide ribosomal RNA is filed under the name uncultured bacterium. Its description in RNAcentral is "partial 16S ribosomal RNA". It matches the Rfam family "Bacterial small subunit ribosomal RNA", at positions 28 to 507 of the family's 1533-position model. The record is from RNAcentral.
GACGAACGCUGGCGGCGUGCUUAACACAUGCAAGUCGAACGGAAAGGCCCUGCUUGCAGGGUACUCGAGUGGCGAACGGGCGAGUAACACGUGGGUGAUCUGCCCUGCACUUCGGGAUAAGCCUGGGGAACUGGGUCUAAUACCGGAUAGGAGCCAUUUUUAGUGUGAUGGUUGGAAAGUUUUUUCGGUGUAGGAUGAGCUCGCGGCCUAUCAGCUUGUUGGUGGGGUAAUGGCCUACCAAGGCGGCGACGGGUAGCCGGCCUGAGAGGGUGGACGGCCACAUUGGGACUGAGAUACGGCCCAGACUCCUACGGGAGGCAGCAGUGGGGAAUAUUGCACAAUGGGCGCAAGCCUGAUGCAGCGACGCCGCGUGGGGGAUGACGGCCUUCGGGUUGUAAACUCCUUUCGCUAGGGACGAAGCUUUUUGUGACGGUACCUAGAUAAGAAGCACCGGCUAACUACGUG